UACGAAGGGGGCUAGCGUUGUUCGGAAUCACUGGGCGUAAAGCGCACGUAGGCGGAUUUUUAAGUCAGGGGUGAAAUCCCGGGGCUCAACCUCGGAACUGCCUUUGAUACUGGAGAUCUUGAGUCCGGAAGAGGUAAGUGGAACUGCGAGUGUAGAGGUGAAAUUCGUAGAUAUUCGCAAGAACACCAGUGGCGAAGGCGGCUUACUGGUCCGGAACUGGACGCUGAGGUGCGAAAGCGUGGGAGCGAACCGGAUU
This 256-nucleotide ribosomal RNA is filed under the name uncultured bacterium. Its description in RNAcentral is "partial 16S ribosomal RNA". It matches the Rfam family "Bacterial small subunit ribosomal RNA", at positions 524 to 779 of the family's 1533-position model. The record is from RNAcentral.